GACGAACGCUGUCGGCGUGCUUAACACAUGCAAGUCGAACGGAAAGGCCCUGCUUUUGUGGGGUGCUCGAGUGGCGAACGGGUGAGUAACACGUGAGUAACCUGCCCUUGACUUUGGGAUAACUUCAGGAAACUGGGGCUAAUACCGGAUAGGAGCUCCUGCUGCAUGGUGGGGGUUGGAAAGUUUCGGCGGUUGGGGAUGGACUCGCGGCUUAUCAGCUUGUUGGUGGGGUAGUGGCUUACCAAGGCUUUGACGGGUAGCCGGCCUGAGAGGGUGACCGGCCACGUUGGGACUGAGAUACGGCCCAGACUCCUACGGGAGGCAGCAGUGGGGAAUAUUGCACAAUGGGCGGAAGCCUGAUGCAGCAACGCCGCGUGCGGGAUGACGGCCUUCGGGUUGUAAACCGCUUUCGCCUGUGACGAAGCGUGAGUGACGGUAAUGGGUAAAGAAGCACCGGCUAACUACGUGCCAGCAGCCGCGGUGAUACGUAGGGUGCGAGCGUUGUCCGGAUUUAUUGGGCGUAAAGGGCUCGUAGGUGGUUGAUCGCGUCGGAAGUGUAGUCUUGGGGCUUAACCCUGAGCGUGCUUUCGAUACGGGUUGACUUGAGGAAGGUAGGGGAGAAUGGAAUUCCUGGUGGAGCGGUGGAAUGCGCAGAUAUCAGGAGGAACACCAGUGGCGAAGGCGGUUCUCUGGGCCUUUCCUGACGCUGAGGAGCGAAAGCGUGGGGAGCGAACAGGCUUAGAUACCCUGGUAGUCCACGCUGUAAACGGUGGGUACUAGGUGUGGGGUCCAUUCCACGGGUUCCGUGCCGUAGCUAACGCUUUAAGUACCCCGCCUGGGGAGUACGGCCGCAAGGCUAAAACUCAAAGGAAUUGACGGGGCCCCGCACAAGCGGCGGAGCAUGCGGAUUAAUUCGAUGCAACGCGUAGAACCUUACCUGGGUUUGACAUGGAUCGGGAGUGCUCAGAGAUGGGUGUGCCUCUUUUGGGGUCGGUUCACAGGUGGUGCAUGGCUGUCGUCAGCUCGUGUCGUGAGAUGUUGGGUUAAGUCCCGCAACGAGCGCAACCCUUGUUCACUGUUGCCAGCACGUUAUGGUGGGGACUCAGUGGAGACCGCCGGGGUCAACUCGGAGGAAGGUGGGGAUGACGUCAAGUCAUCAUGCCCCUUAUGUCCAGGGCUUCACGCAUGCUACAAUGGCUGGUACAGAGAGUGGCGAGCCUGUGAGGGUGAGCGAAUCUCGGAAAGCCGGUCUCAGUUCGGAUUGGGGUCUGCAACUCGACCUCAUGAAGUCGGAGUCGCUAGUAAUCGCAGAUCAGCAACGCUGCGGUGAAUACGUUCCCGGGGCU
This 1346-nucleotide ribosomal RNA is filed under the name uncultured bacterium. RNAcentral describes it as "partial 16S ribosomal RNA". It matches the Rfam family "Bacterial small subunit ribosomal RNA", at positions 28 to 1381 of the family's 1533-position model. The record is from RNAcentral.